This 479-nucleotide ribosomal RNA is filed under the name uncultured bacterium. RNAcentral's name for it is "partial 16S ribosomal RNA". It matches the Rfam family "Bacterial small subunit ribosomal RNA", at positions 28 to 507 of the family's 1533-position model. The record is from RNAcentral.
GAUGAACGCUGGCGGCGUGCUUAACACAUGCAAGUCGAGCGAGAAGUUUUGAAAAGAUUCUUCGGAUGAAAUUUAAAAUGGAAAGCGGCGGACGGGUGAGUAACGCGUAGGCAACCUGCCCCAUACAAAGGGAUAGCAUUUGGAAACGAAUAUUAAUACCUUAUGAAACUUAACUAGUGCAUGCUAGGUAGGUCAAAGAUUUAUCGGUAUGGGAUGGGCCUGCGUCUGAUUUGCUAAGUGGUGAGGUAACGGCCCACCAAGGCGACGAUCAGUAGCCGACCUGGGAGGGUGAACGGCCAACUUGGAACUGAGGCACGGUCCCAACUCCUACGGGAGGGAGCAGUGGGGAAUAAUGCACAAUGGGGGAAAACCUGAUGCAGCAACGCCGCGUGAACGAUGAAGGCCUUUGGGUCGUAAAGUUCUGUUCUAGGUGAUGAAAACUGACAGUAACCUAGGAGAAAGCCCCGGCUAACUCCGUG